This 413-nucleotide long non-coding RNA is filed under the name Meriones unguiculatus (Mongolian gerbil). RNAcentral's name for it is "lncRNA (ENSMUGG00000012943.1)". Lineage: Eukaryota; Metazoa; Chordata; Mammalia; Rodentia; Muridae. The record is from RNAcentral.
CCGCCCCCACUCCAGCCCCGGGAAGCCCCGAUUGCGGGCGGAGCGCGAGCCACCGCGGCGGGUGGAGCCUGCGGCCGCCGGAUCCCAGGGCCAAUCGCGCGGUGGCAGGGGAGGAGCCCCGGAGGGGGAAAAAGAAAGUGCGGCGGAAAGUAAGAGGCGAGUCGAGGAAGGCUGCUGGGAUCUGGGUCUCCUGGGCUCGGCUUGGACCAGGGCGCGGAAAGAGGCAGUGGCCGGCCACCCUGCACCCAUCCCGUCAUUGUCGCCGAGUCUGCUCGGCUGGCCCAGGAAGACCACUGGUUGUGAAAUUGUGAGCCAAGGGGCCACGGGAAACAUCAGACACUUUGCAGUGCAGAUUCCUGGUUAGCGACGGGCUGAGAAGGUCUGUUUUCUAUCUGUGUCUUUGCCUUGUGGUG